RNAcentral lists this long non-coding RNA (453 nucleotides) under Malus domestica (apple). Its description in RNAcentral is "long non-coding RNA (MDOM_LNC005145)". The record is from RNAcentral. Lineage: Eukaryota; Viridiplantae; Streptophyta; Magnoliopsida; Rosales; Rosaceae.
GCUGAGGUAUUAUCGGGGGGAAAUAAAGCUGAGUAUUUCGAGAGGUUAUGUUGAGGGUGCCUUCUCGAACGCGAGAAAUGGUUGAGCAUUUUUGCAGGUUUGUCUGUCCGUGGAGGAGGGAGGUCGACAUAUAUAGGAAUUUCUCAAUAGCAAGUAGUAAUGCUAUUCCUUUACCAUUCUCGGUCACAGUAACGUAGUGGGAGCUGUCAGCUUCACGUGUUUUAACUUUGUCAGAGCACUUUGAAAAAGAUGUAUGUGGUAUCUGGAAAGCUGAUGUUGCGUGUGAAGAUUACAGACAAGCUUUAUCUAAGGAAAUCUGGCUCUCGAAGUUCUGAGAGUUGUGCCUCUUCGAUUUUCGAACAAGCAAUCCCGUCGGGGAUCUGGCUCUCGAGAUUCGGAAAGCGGUGCCGCUUCGGCUUUUAAGAGAGCAAUUAUGUUGGGAGUCUUUUCUCG